Misgurnus anguillicaudatus (oriental weatherfish) is the source of this 2162-nucleotide non-coding RNA. NCBI's taxonomy places the organism in Eukaryota, Metazoa, Chordata, Actinopteri, Cypriniformes, Cobitidae. The record is from RefSeq and is a predicted model, not a curated record.
GCGGGGAUUUUCAUAAGGACUUGCCGAGAUCAAGCUGCGUUGGGCGGGGUACAUUAGCGCUGAGUAUCCGGUGGUUGUCUGGAUCAGAACUCCGAAAGAGUCGGAGCAGAUUUUUUAAUAAACGCUAUCUUUAUAAACCGACCGCACAUUUGAUCUUUUUAUACAUACAUUCUCGCCUAAAUAGCUUUUGAAUAUACAUUUUGUGACACAAUAAGAGUAAUAUUUCAAACAUUAUGCAGGCGUUCUCUUCCAUUGGUGGCUGUUGUAAGUUCACACGAGUCAGCUGAUGACGUUUCACUUGGACAGACAACCACGCAUUGUUGUAUAUUUUUUUGCGUGUGUUAUUAUUAUUUUAUUAUUAUGAAAUUCGUGAACAUUAUUAUUGAGCCUUGGCAGUCUAUUUAGUAUUUGUUUUAUUGAGGAGAAAAAAAACAGACAAGAACGCAUAUUGUGUUGCGCCUGCGCUGUGACGUUCUAUUUUCAACCGCAUUUCCAGUCGAGAGGUCAAGAAUGCUCCUGUCUGCAUCAGGUAAGAAUUUAAAUAAAAAAUUACCGUUAUAAUAUGAUAUCUAUUUUUCAUUUAGUGUAAUAAACUUUAGCAUUAAUUGUGCAGGAGACUGUUCAUUUAAACUUUAUUGUGGUAACGUUAAAUGCUCGCUCGUUUUGCAAAGUUACGUUUGGAGAUUCAUGUUAACAGUCAUUGUUUAAUGAAAGGCACAUUGGACUACGGCUAUCCAUCUGAAAAAGAAAAGCUGGCACUCGCAAAGGAGAUUGUGUUGUUGGAUUAUGGUCUCAUUUGGUCAAAAUGAGGGACAUGUACUGAGCAUUUUUCUUUAUUUUUUCUUUUUUUUUUUGAUGGGCCAUCACACAGUGGAUUUAUAAAAAUGAGACUACAGAACAGCAGACGGAAGCUUCAAUGGAGUUGACGUGAGAGGACAUCAUCAAUAAAGAAUGCCAUUGACCAAACCUUCAGUCAUCAACGGAGAUGGAUACAGGUGGACAUCAAGUUUUCCAGACUUACCGAUAGGAAAGAAGACAUGUUUAUCAGGAAAUGGGAGGUGACAAUUAUUGAGAAACUCAGGGAAAUAGCAUCUUUAGAGAAGAAAAUGGACAUCAGACAUUCAUUGAAGAAAGCUGACAGUCAACAUAAUGAUCUUCUGCUGUGUGAAUUCUGUGUGAAGUCUCAGACCUGUGGGACUUGGUGGCGGCUGGUACCAGCGUGACCUCUUUGCUUACUAAAUGAUGAAAAGGUGUCUAAAAUCAGCUCAGCCACAGUUGGUUUCCAGCGGUUCUUCAGGACAUAGAGGCCACUAUGUAAUUGUCGCAAUGAAUGAUUCUCUUGCCUUUCCACUUGAUGUUUACAAUCGGACCUGUGCGGUAGAAAGACUUUUCAAAUUUACUAGCUAAGUAACCUUAAGUAUCCCUGCCAACUGUCUUCAGUUUUUUUUUUUGUAUGAAUAUGAUCUACCCUUGUCCCAGUCCUCUUGCAAACGAUCCAAGCCAAUGGAGUUUCAAAAUGGACCGAAAAUUGCAGUCUGUUUUAACCAAUGCAUGCACUGUGUGGCGGUUUCCCGGACAGGGAUUAGACUAGUCCUAGACUAAAACAUUUUUAAGAGCUGUCCAAACUGAAAACAACUUGCACUGACAUAUCUUAAAAUACAUCAGUGCCCUUUGUUUUGCCUCAAAAUGCACACAGGUAAUGUUUUUAGUAAGGCAUGUUUGUUAAAACCAGAUAUAUUUCCUAAUUAAUCUAAGGCCUAGUCCUGGAUUAAGAUAAUCCCUGUCCGGGAAACCGCCCCUAAAUAUUUUGUGAUGGAAAUUUCUUUGAAUACACUUGUCAAGUUCAUUUGAAGUAUUUUUCUUAAUGUAAAAUAACGUGUUAAUGUUUCAGGACAAGGUAAGAAUUUUUGAUAACUUGUAUGUUGAAAACGAUUUCAGACAUUGUUUCAACAUGUUUAACACAUGUGCUUUUAAAUUCAAUGAAUUAUUUUAUAAAUGGUGUUUUUUUAUGUAUGAAUGUAAUGUAUGUUUGAAGUGAUUAUACUUGCACUUAAAUUUAUUUAAAUUAGCAUACAUCUUGCAGCAUAAAGUACUAGCAUAUUUUCAUGCUAGCAUUAAUUGUCAAAUAUUUAUUAUUAUACAAAUAAAUGUUGUGAACAAUA